AACGAACGCUGGCGGCAUGCCUAACACAUGCAAGUCGAACGCUCCGCAAGGGGAGUGGCGAACGGGUGAGUAACGCGUGGGAACCUGCCCAGUAGUUGGGGAUAACCGCGGGAAACUGCGGCUAAUACCGAAUACGCCCUAAGGGGAAAGAUUUAUCGCUAUUGGAGGGGCCCGCGUCGGAUUAGCUGGUUGGUGAGGUAACGGCUCACCAAGGCGACGAUCCGUAGCUGGUCUGAGAGGAUGAUCAGCCACACUGGGACUUAGACACGGCCCAGACUCCUACGGGAGGCAGCAGUGGGGAAUAUUGGACAAUGGGGGCAACCCUGAUCCAGCAAUGCCGCGUGAGUGAUGAAGGCCUUAGGGUUGUAAAGCUCUUUUACCGGGGACGAUGAUGACGGUACCCGGAGAAUAAGCCCCGGCUAAC
This 424-nucleotide ribosomal RNA is filed under the name uncultured bacterium. RNAcentral's name for it is "bacterial SSU rRNA". It matches the Rfam family "Bacterial small subunit ribosomal RNA", at positions 29 to 501 of the family's 1533-position model. The record is from RNAcentral.